RNAcentral lists this ribosomal RNA (509 nucleotides) under Arcyria incarnata. RNAcentral's name for it is "partial small subunit ribosomal RNA". It matches the Rfam family "Bacterial small subunit ribosomal RNA", at positions 558 to 930 of the family's 1533-position model. Lineage: Eukaryota; Evosea; Eumycetozoa; Trichiida; Trichiidae. The record is from RNAcentral.
GCGUAGGGUAUGUAGACUGUGAAAAUCAAAAUAAAUAAAAUCCUUGAGUGGUCCUCAUUGUCUGUUUAUUUAUAUAUUUCACUAGAAUCUGAGAAGGAAAAUGGUAUUUUUAUGGAGGGGUUAAAUAUGAGAUAUAAAAAGGACCGACAGUGGCAAAAGCAAUUUUCUAGUCAAGUAUUGAGUUAAGGUACGAAAGCAGGGGAGCGAAGUGGAUUAGAUACCCAUGUAGUCCGUGUGUCAACGCUGAGUUUUCAAUGUAGAAUAUGUGAAAUAUAGAAAUAUAUAAAAAAAUUUCUUAAAAGACCUAAAGAGGAUAGUAUUACACAAAGUAUUUAGAUAUAAAUAUUAAUUAUUUAUAUUAUAUUUAACAUAUAUCUUUUAUUGUAAUAAUUAAAUAUUAUAUGCAAAUAUUUCAGGCUUUUUUGGUGUUUGAGUAACGCGUUAAAUUCUCCGCUGGGAAGUAUGGCCGCAGGUUGAAACUCAAAAGAAUUGAGGUGACUUGUACGAGG